RNAcentral lists this long non-coding RNA (285 nucleotides) under Ricinus communis (castor bean). Its description in RNAcentral is "long non-coding RNA (RCOM_LNC003785)". The record is from RNAcentral. Lineage: Eukaryota; Viridiplantae; Streptophyta; Magnoliopsida; Malpighiales; Euphorbiaceae.
GUUCUACUCCGUGUUGUUCACUCAAACAUGUAUGUAUCAUUAUUCUCCAGUUAAUUUGCAUUAGAAUUUUUCCUCUGCCUGAUGUGUGUGUGUGCGUGUGUGUAAAAUUGUAGCUCAUGAUAGCUUGAUAUGUUGUUUUGUGACUCUACCUUCUGUGUUUAAUUUCCUAGGGGUUGGGUAUGCACAUUUGUGAUUUUGCUCUGAAUGCAUAUGUAUGCAUUCGAUCAACCAUCUGUGUUUUGUUAAAUUUAUCAACUUUAUACUGCUGCACAUUGUGAGAAUUUG